Molecule: ribosomal RNA, 253 nt
Filed under: uncultured bacterium
Lineage: Bacteria
Description: partial 16S ribosomal RNA
Rfam family: Bacterial small subunit ribosomal RNA
Source: RNAcentral
UACGGAGGGGGCUAGCGUUAUUCGGAAUUAUUGGGCGUAAAGGGCGUGUAGGCGGCUUCGUGUGUCCCAUGUGAAAGCCCUCGGCUCAACCGGGGAACUGCAUGGGAAACUGCGUGGCUUGAGUCCGGGAGAGGUGAGUGGAAUUCCCAGUGUAGCGGUGAAAUGCGUAGAUAUUGGGAGGAACACCAGUGGCGAAGGCGACUACCUGGCCCAUUCUUGACGCUGAGGCGCGAAAGCUAGGGGAGCGAACGGG